RNAcentral lists this unclassified non-coding RNA (413 nucleotides) under soil metagenome. RNAcentral describes it as "partial contains 5.8S ribosomal RNA, internal transcribed spacer 2, and large subunit ribosomal RNA". The stretch from base 1 to 120 matches the Rfam family "5.8S ribosomal RNA", at positions 35 to 154 of the family's 154-position model. The record is from RNAcentral.
GAUGAAGAACGCAGUGAAAUGCGAUAAGUAAUGUGAAUUGCACAAUUCAGUGAAUCAUCGAAUCUUUGAACGCACCUUGCGCUCUUUGGUAUUCCGAAGAGCAUGCCUGUUUGAGUGUCAUGAAAAUAUCAACCUUGACUUGGGUUUUGUGCUCUAGUCUCGGCUUGGAAUUGGGUGCUUGCCGCUUUUACGAGCGGCUCACCUUAAAUGUAUUAGCUGGAUCUGUCUUUGAGACUUGGUUUGACUUGGCGUAAUAAGUAUUUCGCUAAGGACAUUCUUCGGAGUGGCCUCGUUUCUAGGACGCUUGUCCGCUUUCCAAUACAAGUUCCACCUCGUGGACAUGACUUUUUAUUAUCUGGCCUCAAAUCAGGUAGGACUACCCGCUGAACUUAAGCAUAUCAAUAAGCGGAGGA